This 2405-nucleotide long non-coding RNA is filed under the name Betta splendens (Siamese fighting fish). RNAcentral describes it as "lncRNA (ENSBSLG00000020816.1)". The record is from RNAcentral. Lineage: Eukaryota; Metazoa; Chordata; Actinopteri; Anabantiformes; Osphronemidae.
UGGAAUUGUUGUCACAGACUCGAGAUCUGAUUGGUUACCGCCUGGCGACACAAGCCUGGUGUAAUAUGAUUGGAUAAAAACUUUACAAUAAUAUACAACAGUCGGAGCGGCGAAACCGAGCGGAUAUAAUAUGACACGAAGAAAACAGACCAUGGAGAAUCAUUUAUGACCUCUCUACAAACAAAAUCUGAGCAUGUUUAGGUUAGCAGAGAACGUUUUGCUGCGUCUGAUGGCCGCCACUGCGUCCGAGUUUGCGUUGCCACGCACGUCCGUGCACGUGCGUCAAAACCAUGGUAACCAGCGCUGAGUUAAUAAAAGGAGCGCAGCUAUGUGAUUUUACACAUUUGCCUCUGGUCUUGGAGACAUUGGCAGCAACACAAAAAUCUGCGACCGUAUUAAUUUGUUUUGCUGGAGCAAUGGAGCGCCACUUGCCCCCGAGGAUCUGGCAGCUCUGGAGAAGGUUCAGACGGUGGAGCCGCCUAGGCAGACAGCGGUGGCAGCCGGAGGGGGUUGCUGUGCACGGUCCACCUAGACUUCCUCCACCUAGACGUCGGAGACCUCGUUGUGACCCACCCACUUCCCACGUUCAGGAAGUUGGUCCCCCCACCUCUGACAUUGAGGUACCCCGCUCUGACCUGCCUUCUUACUUACAUGUUCCACCACGCUGGGGACACACACCACUUCCUCUUUAUUCAGAUCUUUUUCCUUCUUAUCCUCCUCCACGCUCUCCUGUUCCUCCUUCUUCUAUUCCUUCCACACCCCCUCCUCCCUAUUCUCCUGUUCCUUCUUGCUCUUGUGCUCCUCCUCAUUCUCCUCCACGCUCUCCUGUUCCUUCUUCUAUUCCUUCCACACCCCCUCCUCCCUAUUCUCCUCCACGCUCUCCUGUUCCUUCUUCUGUUCCUUCCACACCCCCUCCUCCCUAUUCUCCUCCACGCUCUCCUGUUCCUUCUUCUGUUCCUUCCACACCCCCUCCUCCCUAUUCUCCUCCACGCUCUCCUGUUCCUUCUUCUGUUCCUUCCACACCUCCUCCUCCCUAUUCUCCUGUUCCUUCUUGCUCUUGUGCUCCUCCUCAUUCUCCUCCACGCUCUCCUGUUCCUCCUUCUUCUGUUCCUUCCACACCCCCUCCUCCCUAUUCUCCUCCACGCUCUCCUGUUCCUUCUUCUGUUCCUUCCACACCCCCUCCUCCCUAUUCUCCUCCACGCUCUCCUGUUCCUUCUUCUUCUGUUCCUUCCACACCUCCUCCUCCCUAUUCUCCUGUUCCUUCUUGCUCUUGUGCUCCUCCUCAUUCUCCUCCACGCUCUCCUGUUCCUCCUUCUUCUGUUCCUUCCACACCCCCUCCUCCCUAUUCUCCUCCACGCUCUCCUGUUCCUUCUUCUGUUCCUUCCACACCCCCUCCUCCCUAUUCUCCUCCACGCUCUCCUGUUCCUUCUUCUGUUCCUUCCACACCCCCUCCUCCCUAUUCUCCUCCACGCUCUCCUGUUCCUUCUUCUGUUCCUUCCACCCCCCCUCCUCCCUAUUCUCCUCCACGCUCUCCUGUUCCUUCUUCUGUUCCUUCCACACCUCCUCCUCCCUAUUCUCCUGUUCCUUCUUGCUCUUGUGCUCCUCCUCAUUCUCCUCCACGCUCUCCUGUUCCUCCUUCUUCUGUUCCUUCCACACCCCCUCCUCCCUAUUCUCCUCCACGCUCUCCUGUUCCUUCUUCUGUUCCUUCCACACCCCCUCCUCCCUAUUCUCCUCCACGCUCUCCUGUUCCUUCUUCUGUUCCUUCCACACCCCUCCUCCCUAUUCUCCUCCACGCUCUCCUGUUCCUUUUCUGUUCCUUCCACACCUCCUCCUCCUAUUCUCCUGUUCCUUCUUCUUUGUGCUCCUCCUCAUUCUCCUCCACGCUCUCCUGUUCCUCCUUCUUCUGUUCCUUCCACACCCUCCCCCCUAUUCUCCUCCACGCUCUCCUGUUCCUUCUUCUGUUCCUUCCACACCCCCUCCUCCCUAUUCUCCUCCACGCUCUCCUGUUCCUUCUUCUGUUCCUUCCACACCCCCUCCUCCCUAUUCUCCUCCACGCUCUCCUGUUCCUUCUUCUGUUCCUUCCACACCCCCUCCUCCCUAUUCUCCUCCACGCUCUCCUGUUCCUUCUUCUGUUCCUUCCACACCCCCUCUUCCCUCUUCUCCUCCACGCUCUCCUGUUCCUUCUUCUGUUCCUUCCACACCCCUCCUCCUUAUUCUCCUGUUCCCUCUUGCUCUCCUGCUCCUCCUCUUUCUCCUCCAUGCUCUUCUGCUCUUUCUCUUCUGUUCACCUUCACCCCCUCCUCCUUCUCUUCUGGUUCCACCUAUUGUGGCUCCUUCUGAGCUGCCGUGUGUUCCCGAUGCUGGCCUUUUCCUGUCUCCUGUUAUUCAGGACUCAGGCUCCAUAG